RNAcentral lists this ribosomal RNA (253 nucleotides) under uncultured bacterium. Its description in RNAcentral is "partial 16S ribosomal RNA". It matches the Rfam family "Bacterial small subunit ribosomal RNA", at positions 524 to 776 of the family's 1533-position model. The record is from RNAcentral.
UACAUAGGAUGCAAGCGUUAUCCGGAAUGAUUGGGCGUAAAGCGUCUGUAGGUGGCUUUUUAAGUCCGCCGUCAAAUCCCAGGGCUCAACUCUGGACAGGCGGUGGAAACUACCAAGCUGGAGUACGGUAGGGGCAGAGGGAAUUUCCGGUGGAGCGGUGAAAUGCGUAGAGAUCGGGAGGAACACCCGUGGCGAAGGCGGCCAACUGGGCCGGACCUGACGCUGAGGCGCGAAGGCGUGGGGAGCGAACGGG